UGAAAUCUGGCGUCUUCGACGUCCGAGUUGUAAUUUGUAGAGGAUGCUUCUGAGUAACCACCGACCUAAGUUCCUUGGAACAGGACGUCAUAGAGGGUGAGAAUCCCGUAUGCGGUCGGAAAGGUGCUCUAUACGUAGCUCCUUCGACGAGUCGAGUUGUUUGGGAAUGCAGCUCUAAAUGGGAGGUAAAUUUCUUCUAAAGCUAAAUAUUGGCCAGAGACCGAUAGCGCACAAGUAGAGUGAUCGAAAGAUGAAAAGCACUUUGGAAAGAGAGUUAAAAAGCACGUGAAAUUGUUAAAAGGGAAGGGAUUGCAACCAGACUUGCUCGCGGUGUUCCGCCGGUCUUCUGACCGGUCUACUCGCCGCGUUGCAGGCCAGCAUCGUCUGGUGCCGCUGGAUAAGACUUGAGGAAUGUAGCUCCCUCGGGAGUGUUAUAGCCUCUUGUGAUGCAGCGAGCGCCGGGCGAGGUCCGCGCUUCGGCU
This 482-nucleotide ribosomal RNA is filed under the name Cladosporium cladosporioides. Its description in RNAcentral is "eukaryotic LSU rRNA". It matches the Rfam family "Eukaryotic large subunit ribosomal RNA", at positions 116 to 519 of the family's 3401-position model. The record is from RNAcentral. Lineage: Eukaryota; Fungi; Ascomycota; Dothideomycetes; Cladosporiales; Cladosporiaceae.